RNAcentral lists this small nuclear RNA (162 nucleotides) under Pogona vitticeps (central bearded dragon). Its description in RNAcentral is "U1 spliceosomal RNA (ENSPVIG00000022446.1)". It matches the Rfam family "U1 spliceosomal RNA". Rfam says of the family: U1 is a small nuclear RNA (snRNA) component of the spliceosome (involved in pre-mRNA splicing). Its 5' end forms complementary base pairs with the 5' splice junction, thus defining the 5' donor site of an intron. The record is from Rfam by way of RNAcentral. Lineage: Eukaryota; Metazoa; Chordata; Lepidosauria; Squamata; Agamidae.
AUACUUACUUGGCAGGAGAGAUACCACAAUCACAAAGGCGGUUUUUCCCAGGUUGAGGCUCAUCCACUGCACUUCAGGCGUGCUGAUCCUGCGAUUUCUCCAAAUGUGGGAAACUCAACUGUAUAAUUUGUGGUAGUGGGAGACCAUGUUUGUGCUUUCCCC